UAUUUAGGGUGGUAGGGGGGUAAGUCUGGAAAGGUAGGUUAGGUCUAAUUUCUGGAGGGUUGGACUUUGAGAACUGGCUGAUAAGAUUGGCCAUUUGUCCUUAGGCAAUGGAGAGCAAGGAAAGAUUUAUGGAGCAGAAAGUUAUAUGAUCCACAUGUGCUUUGGAAGAAGUUUGCCUGUAUUGGAAAGGAUAGAGUCUUGUGGAAAGGAGUUUAGGUAGAAGAUUUUGGUUACAGAAUCACGAAGAUCCGACAACUGAUUAAAUGUGGAUGGGGGACAAGGCGGGGAAGAUGAAGUCAAAGAGGCAUCUGAAGGCAACUUCAUGUACUGCUUGUGAUGCAUGACUCCCGACACACAGACCGAGUGAAGGAGCCAACAUCGAUUCAUGUGAAUGAUAAGGAUUGAGUUCCUAGCCUGGCAAAAAGAAAAACUGCUCAGCUUCUCCUCAAUAUGCCUUCAUGACCCUGAGAAGCGCUGGGAGUAUAGCAGCGAGCAAGUCAUUGCCUGACCCUUACAAGAAGAUAAUCACAACAGCAGAGUG
RNAcentral lists this long non-coding RNA (541 nucleotides) under Equus caballus (horse). Its description in RNAcentral is "lncRNA (ENSECAG00000059932.1)". The record is from RNAcentral. Lineage: Eukaryota; Metazoa; Chordata; Mammalia; Perissodactyla; Equidae.